Dendronephthya gigantea is the source of this 280-nucleotide long non-coding RNA. RefSeq lists it as uncharacterized. The record is from RefSeq and is a predicted model, not a curated record. NCBI's taxonomy places the organism in Eukaryota, Metazoa, Cnidaria, Anthozoa, Malacalcyonacea, Nephtheidae. The transcript is spliced from 3 exons.
GGAAAGGUUAAGCAAGAAGGCUACCAAGAUUUUAUCAACAUUUCCUAUAACCCUGAUGGAGCCUUUAUACAACAAAUACCGGGCGGUGGUGACACGGUAUCAGCUGUUGCCAUGGAUAUCUAUGGUAAUCUUGCAUGUGCGACGUCCACAGGUGGUAUAGCUGGGAAAAUGAAAGGUCGGGUUGGUGAUGCACCGCUGGUUGGCUGUGGGGCGUACGCUAAUGAACACGGAGCAGCCACUAUAACUGGACAUGGAGAAUCUAUUAUGAAAAUGACUCUGG